Molecule: long non-coding RNA, 734 nt
Organism: Drosophila miranda
Lineage: Eukaryota; Metazoa; Arthropoda; Insecta; Diptera; Drosophilidae
Exons: 3
Source: RefSeq, a predicted model, not a curated record
AAAAGUGAUCUGAUAAUCUGAGAAUGGUCAUUUAAUGUGGUCUUGUUGGGCUUGACUUGAAUGAAUUUGCUGUGUCUUUAUUAUAUAUGGGAUAUUUAUUUGAAAAGGAAAUUAAAGAGAAAAAUUAUAAUAAUGAAGUUAACGAAAUCAGAGAGAUGUGCAAGGAUUUUAUAAAGGAGCUAAUUAUCCAACUCAGAGAAAGACUUCCAGAUAAUUUUGAGAUAAUUAGGAAAACUGAAAGUUUUUGCAGCAGAAAAUGUACUCAAACAUAAUAUAAAUCAUAAUGAGCUCAUUUCCAUAUUGGAACACUUUAACUAUAAGAAUAUAGAUGGAAUUCUUGCCCAAUAUGGCAAAAUUCAAUUAGUCCCUUGGCAAAGUACAGAUGACACGAUACAAUUUUGGUCAGAAGUACUGACUUAUAAAGAUGCUGGCCAAAACAAGCCUUUUGAAGAAAUCGCUUUAUUUGCCAUUGGCAUUUUAAGUCUACCGUGGUCAAAUGCUGCUAUUAAACGUGUAUUCAGUCAAAUGAAUAUUGUUAAGACCAAGCUAAGGAACAAAAUGACCGUUAAAUCCUUAAACUCAAUAUUAAAUAUAAGAUAUGGAUUGCGCCGUUAUGGAAAAUGUUGUCACAACUAUCAAUUACCGGAGAAAUAUUUAAAUUUAAUCCGUUUCAGCGAUAAAUAUACCGAUUCAAGCAAUAGCGAAUUGGAUGAAAUAACACAAUUAGAAAUGUA